UAGUGUUAAGUGAAAAGACUAGUGUCAGAUCUAAAUGGAACAGGAGUUGAGUGGAGUUUGUAUAGUGUGGUUGGGAUUGGGUUUAGAAUAUAGAAAACAUAUUCGGGUGCCGAAAUUUUGGGAAAAUCGUUUUCCAUAAGUAAAAAAUCUUCGAACACUAUGGGAUACGCCUCACGCUGUAAAAUUUUCGAGCCAGUAAACGGUCGAAAAUAAGCUCGGAACACUUGAAGACUUAUUAAAAUAUGGACUUCAUACAGGUUUUGGGGCGUCAUAGCUCCGAAUGUAACAAGGAACAUGCGAUGAGAGAGAAAACCGUGGAUCUGUGUGUAUUUAAAAUAGAGUGCGUCGAUACACGGUCGGCUGCGAAACU
Long non-coding RNA from Plodia interpunctella (Indianmeal moth), 370 nucleotides. RefSeq lists it as uncharacterized. The record is from RefSeq and is a predicted model, not a curated record. Lineage: Eukaryota; Metazoa; Arthropoda; Insecta; Lepidoptera; Pyralidae. The transcript is spliced from 3 exons.